RNAcentral lists this ribosomal RNA (707 nucleotides) under Aedes albopictus (Asian tiger mosquito). RNAcentral describes it as "eukaryotic LSU rRNA". It matches the Rfam family "Eukaryotic large subunit ribosomal RNA", at positions 80 to 541 of the family's 3401-position model. Lineage: Eukaryota; Metazoa; Arthropoda; Insecta; Diptera; Culicidae. The record is from RNAcentral.
UGAGUAGCUGCGAGCGAAACGGGAAGAGCUCAGCACGCAGGGGCGAUGCACUGGUGUAUCUGCCCGGUUCCGUGUACUGGAGAGUUCGUUAUCUGCCGUAACCGGUCGCUGGUUCAAGUUCAACUAGAAUGUGGCUUUUACUCCCAGAGAGGGUGAUAGGCCCGUAGAGCGGCGCACCGAUGGUAGAAGAUCUUUCCAUGGAGUCGUGUUGCUUGAUAGUGCAGCACAAAGUGGGAGGUAAACUCCUUCUAAAGCUAAAUAUCACCACGAGACCGAUAGCGAACAAGUACCGUGAGGGAAAGUUGAAAAGCACUCUGAAUAGAGAGUCAAAAAGUACGUGAAACUGCCUAGGGCUCAAGCCCGUUGAACUCGAUUAUCCGAGCGGAGACAUUCACCUGCGGUUGGCCGGCGACGGCACGGCCGCAGGGCACUUGUCUCUCGCACUAGCCAAGAGGACACUGCGAUCCAUUACGAAACAGCUUUCGCGCCGCAAGGCGCAAGGUCGCCCGACAACUGCCCCCUGGUGCUGGUUGCUUGCCCCACAGUAGCGACGCUCAGUUCUGAAGGCCUGUGCCGCGAGGUGGGGCUUACUGCACGUGGUGUUCUAGCAGUCGGGCGCGUGAUGGAUUCCCCCGGACACCGGGUGGUCUUCCCGCAAGGGGCCACCGGACUGUCGAUCGGCAGUGAAAGAAUCGAGGUACCUUCGG